UGAUUUACCACGAAGUUAAAUAUUCUCUCAAUGAAACUCAAUCUUGGUGACCAAAACCGAUUCUGUAAAUGUGUAUAGCACUGAAUGGGGAAGUCAAAGUAUAUGUUAGGAGAACCAUUAUGCAUGUAGAGCAUAAUUAACUAAGAUGCUAAUGAUUCUUUUUCUUUGUUAAAGAAAAAAAAAAUGGAAAAAUAGUUCAGAAGAAUGAUGAUUUUUUCAAAUCUUCCCAACUCAUCAAACACUCUCAUAGACAUCCACAACUACAUAUGGAUUCUCUAAAAGACUAUAUUUGAUUGACGGGAUAUAAUAUAAUAUAUAUAUAUAUCCUACAAUUGGAUAAGAAAUACAAAUCCUAGGAUAUGAUUUUCAAUGGGAUUUGAUAUCCUUAGAUAUUGUAUCUAAUACACGUAAUAUAUCCAAUGAGAUUCAUUGUGCUAUGUUAUUUUUAUAUUUAAUGAGUGAAAUGAAUGAAAAAAAAAAUAGUAUAAAAUAUAUAUUAUUUUUCAAUAUUUAAAAUAAAAAUUAUAUUACAUUUCAACAUUUUCUAUUUAAAAAAAUGAAAAUUUUCUUACUUUUAAUAAUCUUCAUAAUUAAAUAUUUAAACUUUAUAAAUAAAAGUUUUUUAUAUUAUUUUAUUUAAUAUAUAUAUAUAUAUAGUGUGUAUUAAAUAAUACAAACAUUAAUAUUAUUUUAUAAUAUAUUUAUAAAUAUUCUUUUAGUUCUUUUUUAACCACAAUUUAAUUUUAUAAUAAAAAGUUUUUAUUUUGAAAAAUAAGUAAUAUAAAAAAAUAAUAAAUAAAUAAAUUUAUGAAACAUGGGAUAUGCAUAUUCUACAUCUUAAUAAAAGAUGAUAUAAAAAAAGUGGAUAUUAUAUCCCAACAUUUAUCCUAUCAUAUGUAAACAUAGGAUGAGUGAUGAAAUAAAUUAUAUAUAUAAUAUUCAUCCUUUUAUCUUAUCCUGUACCAUAUAAGUUAACCAAACAUUGCCUAAGAGUUUCAUAAGGGGAAGAAGAGGGGGACAAUAUAAGGUGAAAAGCACAAGACAGUUGUUCUUGAUAGUAUUUUUGAUGUGGAAUAAGAUGAUCAUGAUACUCAUGAACACUAAUGGCUUCACAUUGUACUUUCUGGAGGAAGUCAAGGGAACAAGUAGGAGGAAAGCUUGGGCACAUGAGCAUAAGUAUUGGACUACCUAUGGCCUAGAACUUGUGAAUAUAAACAAUAAUAGGCCAUCCUACAUGCUGCAGUAUAACAAAGGGAAAAAUAUGUUUCCUGGUUUCUGUUUGAUGUGACUGCCACUGCUAACUGCUCACAAGGUUAACUACCAAAAAGAGACAGGAGUGCAUUUUCGUUCUCAUACAUCUAGCCAUUGAACAGAAAAAAAAACGGAAGUAUCAAUCAAAUCAUGACAGUUCAGUAAUCACUCAAAAAAAUUGUAGGCUUAAUGCAAACUCCAGUAGUAGCUAAUGGGGCAUCAAAGUGCAAUUGGAAAUUCAAUAGGAGAGUACUCACUCAACAAAGUCAAUAGCCCAAUUUCUUGAAGUGAGCAACAUGAACUGUUUUUAGCUAUAUUGGGAGCUAUGCCCUCAAUUAAAUCUUUAGAGACCCACAUUUCUUUUUGGUCUUCCUCCUGUCCAUUUUAGCCUAUCCAGUGGAACAAGAGAUUAAUUGUGACUCCUAAGAAAUGGAAACAACCCACAAUACUUUGUUACAGUUACAUGGGAAGCAGUUCAUCCUACUGGUUUUCCAGCCUAUUGAGAGUUGUAUCAUUAAAAACAAAUUUUAAUCGUUUCCAUGUCACUUUCUUACCGUGGACCCAUAACUGAAACUAACUUGUAAUCCAGUUUUUUUAGUAGGUGAAUCAUGAAUAUGAUAAGUGCAGGUCCAACACUACCUAGAUCAUCAAUCUCAUUUUUUCCUACCUGCAUUAAGUCCUGCAGUAUCUCUCUGUUUUUCUUUCCCCUUUUUGGUUCUAGAGGACUAACUAAUAUUUGCUUGAGUGCAAAAUUCUAGCCCCACUCCAGUCCUUGGACUCCUGCAUCUUAUAGUUCCCACCGUUUGUCUCACAUGGUGUCAUACUUAGGUUUCCCAUCAAUUCAAACCAUAAAGCAUAAUUAGUCUGGCUCUAUCAAAGUCCAUAAAACAUAAUUAGUCUGGCUCUAUCAAAGUUCUUAAUAAAUUGACCCAUGAUACAUAACCAGUCUAACUGUUCAAAGAUCUUUCCUAUUGUAUGAUUAGAAUGUGUCACACAGCAGAUAUCAUUUUGAAGGCAUCUCUCUGCAUCAGUCACCUAGGUCUAUUUCUAUGGAAGCAUUCUCUUCUGAUCCUUGCCCCUAGCAAACAUAACAACUAAAAAAGUUGACAUUUUGAUUGUUUUCUGAACUUCUUUUGCACAUGCACAAUAGAAUUCAUGAAUGUGAAGGCCCAUGCCUUUGCAAGAGAAUUGGAAUAAGGAGCCCCACGCCUUUAUAAGAGAGGUUUUGGAAAAUGAGGCAAUCCUUGCCUGCACUACAUCAAAUUGAUACCAACCAAAAAGUAAAGAUGCUCUGAAAAUUGACUAAUGUGGUUUGUUGUACUCCAGAGUCCAAUUUGUAUGAAGCAUAUUGGUUCAAUAUCCCACCCUCAGCCCAAGUGACUUGGAAUCAGAUUCUAAUAACAACCAAAUAAGUAAAUAAUAAUAUAGAAGCACCUAAAAAGAGAGGAAAAAAUCUCAAGAACAACCUUUCAAACAUGAUUGUUCAAACUCAAACAGAAGAGUACAUUUCACAGUAAGCCAAGACCAUGGAUCAGAAUCAAAUCUUAUCUGGAACCUGAUAAACAAGUUUUCAAACACGAGCAUUCAAAUGCAGACAGUAAAUUUCAUCUCACAUUUUAGCGAAUCAACCACUAAGGCUUGUCCAGAUAAUUUUUUCACAUUUUAGGAUCACCAGUCCCAAAGAGGACAGAAUCUUUCUUUUGUUUUUUUAUCUGUGCUUGUGCUUCUGAUUUCCUUGGGCUCCAUGCCUCAGAUUUUUGUAACGCUUGGUGCAUUUGUCUACUCUUCAUAGGACAUUUUGGUACUUCUACAUUUCGCUUGUUUUUCUCUUUUUUUUUUUUCUUUUUCAGUAAGAAGUUUUACUAAUAACUACUAUCUCAGAUAUUUACAACCAAUUGAACCAUUUAUAAACAAAUAUGACCCUAUUUGACAACUCUACUAAGAUGUAUAUGUCUUUUCUAUUAAAGGAAUUACAGUAAGAAGCAAUAAUGUCAGCAGGUGAAUUCAUCUUUCCACAUACAUUAAUAUCUUUCCAUUACCUAAGGUUUGUAGCACCUCAAACUAUUCUCUUAAAUACUCUACUGAACACCAAAGAGCUCUAGCACUUUCAAGCUAUCCUUACCAUUGGAUGAAUCACUGGCAACAGUACCUUCUUUAGACUCUUUGAAUCUGCCACUCCCAAGCAAAUAGAAUAGCAUCAGGUUCACAUGACAAGCUUCCUUUUUCAUUUGCUAACAAUAUUCACUUUUAUCCAUCCCUAAUAGUUUCCUUCUUAAGUUACAGUAAUAGUAACUAAUAAAAAAUGGAUUUUUAUACUUGGUGUAUAUUAUUAGAUACCCUUUGUGUUUACUUAUUAGGGGGCAGUUCAUCUUGUUGUUUCAGGGGACAAUGGUUGUACUUAAAGUAAAGCGGCACCAACAAUCUUUCAUUUUCUUAUUCUUUCCUUUCCAUUUUUGAAACACCCCUUGCAAAAAUAGAACAAAAACUUUCAUCCUUCACCCAGUUAGUUCUUCCUCUGGCAUCUCUACUUCUUUCUUCUGUUCAAUUGUCUUUUUAUUUUAUCUUCUCAUUUUUAUUUGUUCUACACCCUUAUUUACCAGCAAGGUAACAUUUUUCUUUCUGUUAGAUCACAAUCCCAAGUUUUCCUUUCAGUUAAAACCUGACGGUUGGUUGCAAAAAAAAUCAGCAAAUCAGCAAAUACUUUCUCACAGAGCACGUGCAAAAAUAAAAAAUUAAAAACAAUAAAGAAACAUGUAUUUGAGCACAACAUUAUUUAUAUAGCUUAGUGCAUAUAACAAUAUAUUAAACAAAAGGUCCUGCACAUGUUUGACCAAAUUAAUCUAUAAUGCUACUGCAUAAGAUUGGGGUAUUAAAUAUCCAACAUUAUCUUCCUUUACAAUCCAAAGUUUUUUCACCAUUUUUUGUUCAGCCAAUUUGCAUGAUAUUUGAAUAAAUAGAGGAUCAUUAUAAGAAAUUGAUUUCGUAAUUCUUGCCCAAAUUCCACCAUUGAAUUCUUUUACCUCACUUUAUUUGACAGUAAUGAAAUCUUGCUAUUUCUGAAUAGGAAUCAUUCAGAUCUGUGCUGUUUGGUCCGGCUAUGCAUCAACUAUGCAUUAGUUGAUACAUAAUAGCAUCAACAACACAAGCAACAUGAAAUGUAAGACAUCAAUUUAUCAUUGUCAAAUUAAGAUGACUCAUCAAAGAGUCUUAGAAAAGAAAAACUCUUUUGUCAAACUACCAUAUGAACCUACCAAUGAUAACACCUCCUGGUUGAUACACCUCAGUAUCACUGAUAGAUAGUCUUUACCAUGUUGAACCAUGCUUACCACAUUUCAAAUGUCACUCAUACAAUUGAAGCAGUUUUCGGACUAGAACUCUCUUGCAUAGCACAUUUGUUUGCCCUAGUAUCCUCAUUAGAAAAUAAAUUUUCACAAAUAAAAUAAAAUGUAUUCAGAUCUUAUCCAACAGGUAAUUAUUGUUGAAUAGAAGCAACACUUACG
Molecule: long non-coding RNA, 4751 nt
Filed under: Vitis vinifera (wine grape)
Lineage: Eukaryota; Viridiplantae; Streptophyta; Magnoliopsida; Vitales; Vitaceae
Description: long non-coding RNA (VVIN_LNC002437)
Source: RNAcentral